CCCUUAGAUGUUCUGGGCUGCACGCGCGCUACACUGAUGCGCUCAACGAGUUUACGACCUUGCCCGGAAGGGUUGGGUAAUCUUUUUAAAACGCAUCGUGAUGGGGAUAGAUUAUUGCAAUUAUUAAUCUUUAACGAGGAAUUCCUAGUAAGCGCAAGUCAGCAGCUUGCGUUGAUUACGUCCCUGCCCUUUGUACACACCGCCCGUCGCUACUACCGAUUGAAUGGUUUAGUGAGAUCUUCGGAUUGGCGCCACUGCGGCUCAGCAAUGGGCUCGGUGGAUGCCGAAAAGUUGAUCAAACUUGAUCAUUUAGAGGAAGUAAAAGUCGUAACA
This 333-nucleotide ribosomal RNA is filed under the name uncultured eukaryote. Its description in RNAcentral is "partial 18S ribosomal RNA". It matches the Rfam family "Eukaryotic small subunit ribosomal RNA", at positions 1470 to 1796 of the family's 1831-position model. The record is from RNAcentral.